Molecule: ribosomal RNA, 257 nt
Filed under: uncultured bacterium
Lineage: Bacteria
Description: partial 16S ribosomal RNA
Rfam family: Bacterial small subunit ribosomal RNA
Source: RNAcentral
GUCCACGCCCUAAACGAUGAAUACUCGAUGUUAGCGAUAUACAGUUAGCGUCAAAGCGAAAGCGUUAAGUAUUCCACCUGGGGAGUACGCCCGCAAGGGUGAAACUCAAAGGAAUUGACGGGGCCCGCACAAGCGGAGGAGCAUGUGGUUUAAUUCGAUGAUACGCGAGGAACCUUACCCGGGCUUGAAAGUUACUGAAGUAUCCAGAGAUGGAUGCGUCCGCAAGGACAGGAAACUAGGUGCUGCAUGGCUGUCGU